GGGGAUUUAGCUCAGCGGCAUAAGCACCUGCCUUGCAAGCAGGUAGUCGUUCAAUCCCUG
RNAcentral lists this transfer RNA (60 nucleotides) under Cavia porcellus (domestic guinea pig). It matches the Rfam family "tRNA". Rfam says of the family: Transfer RNA (tRNA) molecules are approximately 80 nucleotides in length. Their secondary structure includes four short double-helical elements and three loops (D, anti-codon, and T loops). Further hydrogen bonds mediate the characteristic L-shaped molecular structure. tRNAs have two regions of fundamental functional importance: the anti-codon, which is responsible for specific mRNA codon recognition, and the 3' end, to which the tRNAs corresponding amino acid is attached (by aminoacyl-tRNA synthetases). tRNAs cope with the degeneracy of the genetic code in two manners: having more than one tRNA (with a specific anti-codon) for a particular amino acid; and 'wobble' base-pairing, i.e. permitting non-standard base-pairing at the 3rd anti-codon position. Lineage: Eukaryota; Metazoa; Chordata; Mammalia; Rodentia; Caviidae. The record is from Rfam by way of RNAcentral.